AUCUGCUCAAACAGGCUUCGGGGAAGAACCUAAACCUCAAUGAUGAGUCGCAGCACGGCCUCCUGAUGCAGCUGCUCAAACUCAGCUACAACUGCCUCAACUACGACUUCAUAGGAACUUCCACGGACGAGUCGUCAGACGACCUGUGCACUGUACAGAUCCCCACAUCAUGGAGAUCAGCAUUUCUCGACUCCUCAACUCUGCAGCUCUUCUUUAAUUUGUAUCAUUCCAUCACUGCAUCCUUGUCUCCACUGGUGAGUG
Molecule: long non-coding RNA, 261 nt
Organism: Cynoglossus semilaevis (tongue sole)
Lineage: Eukaryota; Metazoa; Chordata; Actinopteri; Pleuronectiformes; Cynoglossidae
Exons: 3
Source: RefSeq, a predicted model, not a curated record